Molecule: ribosomal RNA, 488 nt
Filed under: uncultured euryarchaeote
Lineage: Archaea; Methanobacteriati; Methanobacteriota
Description: bacterial SSU rRNA
Rfam family: Archaeal small subunit ribosomal RNA
Source: RNAcentral
AGGAAUUGGCGGGGGAGCACCGCAACGGGAGGAGCGUGCGGUUUAAUUGGAUUCAACACCGGAAAACUCACCAAGGGCGACUGUUACAUGAAAGCCAGGCCGAUGACCUUGCUAGAUUUUCAGAGAGGUGGUGCAUGGCCGUCGUCAGUUCGUACCGUAAGGCGUUCUCUUAAGUGAGAUAACGAACGAGACCCUCACCGAUAAUUGCUACCCCUUCCUCCGGGGAGGGGGCACAUUAUAGGGACCGCUGGCGCUAAGCCAGAGGAAGGAGAGGUCAACGGUAGGUCAGUAUGCCCCGAAUCUCUUGGGCUACACGCGCGCUACAAAGGGCGGGACAAUGGGCUCCGACGCCGAGAGGCGGAGGCAAUCCCGAAACCCGUCCGUAGUUCGGAUCGGGGGUUGUAACCCACCCCCGUGAAGCUGGAUUCCGUAGUAAUCGCGAAUCAACAACUCGCGGUGAAUAUGCCCCUGCUCCUUGCACACACCGC